CUAAAGGCUGCAAAACCUUCAGCCUGAUGAUGAAAAUUUGCUCCAUUGGACAAAGAGUGCCUGAGAAGUUCAUGGAAAAAUAAGCCUAUUUUGCAUUGCCACUGCUUGACAGAGUGCAUUAUACAGUGAAAAAUGAGCACCAAUUCAGAAUAAUAAAGGACUAUCAGAGCUGAACUACAUUACCUUCAUCGCAGGAUAUAAAUUACAUGAAAUAUCUCCAUGACACUCCAAAUCAUUUCCACUGGAUGAAUGAAAUAUAUAUGGUGCCGCAUAAAAGAUUAAUUUUUUGUGUUUUGUCAUAUGUCUAUGCUUCCUUUUUUCAAACUUUUCCUGUAUUUUCUAUUAAUCGGGUUUUCAUUUGAAACGGGAAAAAUGACAAGUUUUGCUGGCACCCAUGCAACAAAGUGUUAUUUCAUGGCGAUAUUUGUCCACAUUUAACAAAUCAUGCACGGUGGAUUUCAAUAUAAAUUGGUCAGCAGGAUUUCAUCUGCACAAGGUGCCCUGGAAGUCAUUUAUACUUACCUACUUAAUACUAUACUAUGUUAUUAGCACUAUAAAUGCACACUUAUUUUUAGAUCAUGAAAUCAGUAAUGACCUCUCUUCUGUUUUUGUAUUGGAUUAGGAAGGUAUUUUCUAUCUUAGAAUACAUGACACUCAUAGAACAAUUAAUCCCUUCCAAUAGCGAGUUAGACAAAUCACCAAGCAAGUUACUUGCAAAACUAUUACAGUGAAUGUUACUAUGAACAAAUGUUAUUUACAUCAUGGAGAAUCUACCCUGUUCUGAAAAGUUAAUUUCAAAAUCUAAAAUCUUGUUAAAUCUGAGUGGAAUAAUCUUUGGUUUUACCUUCUCCAGUAGACAUGGAGAUUUUAUGAGCCAGCUAUGUAAUAGAAGAAGGAGCAAGCUAUGCAGUAGUUGGAGGAAUCUAUUGUUAAUAGUCAUAACUUGCAGUUCAUUUUGGAAUAUUUUCAGUAAUUAAUAUUUUGUGGUAGAAAAUUAUGAAGACAUAGCAGAUCAGCCAAUUCAGCAAAAUUAAAAGUUGUGUAUUUGUUAGUGUGUUUUACAACACAGAUCUUUUAGAGGUAGUGCUAAAUAAUACCAAGUUAAAGUUCAGCAUUCAUAAAUUACUAAUGCACAUGGAGCAAAAAAUAUAAUAAUUGAAAACAUGCAUAUUCAUUGCUAUGCCAUCUUAAAAUAUUUUGAAUGUUGACUAUUGAAUGCUUUUCAUUACCAGAAAUCACUUCAGAAAACAAGUUAUUUUCUUGCAUUUUAUGCCAAAAAUAAGCAUUCAUCAGGAUUGCAUAUUUUAAGUAAACAGUUGGUAGACAUCUAGGAAGACAUAAUAAAUCCAGUUGCUAUUUUACAUUAAUCCCACUGCAAAAUAAUACUUGGUUCCUUUCCUCAGCUUUCUAUUUUCCAAUUAACUUGCACAGACAAAUAACCUUCAGGAGUCUGAAGAAAGGUCCUGAUCUGAAACUUCACCUGUCCGUGCCCUCCAGUGAUGCUGUCUGACCCUUUGAGUUGCUUCAGCACUUUAUGGAUUAAAUAACCUAGUUCCUUUGUCAAUACUUUAUGGCACAACCAGAUGGGUUUUUUUGAAAGGCCAAUGCAUAAUUGUCUUAGCCUUGAAAAGAAUGCCUAAUUUUUACUUUACCAUUUCCUAAGCUAAAGAUGAAAAUGUUGUCUAUGAGGGACAGUAGACACAUAUAGUGUCAAUCUGCUGAUAUACCUGUAACGGUUAUUCGAUAUGCUGAACAAUUAAAGAUUAGAUUCAUGCUA
Molecule: long non-coding RNA, 1777 nt
Organism: Amblyraja radiata (thorny skate)
Lineage: Eukaryota; Metazoa; Chordata; Chondrichthyes; Rajiformes; Rajidae
Exons: 2
Source: RefSeq, a predicted model, not a curated record